Molecule: ribosomal RNA, 524 nt
Filed under: Vibrio parahaemolyticus
Lineage: Bacteria; Pseudomonadati; Pseudomonadota; Gammaproteobacteria; Vibrionales; Vibrionaceae
Description: bacterial SSU rRNA
Rfam family: Bacterial small subunit ribosomal RNA
Source: RNAcentral
GACGGGUGAGUAAUGCCUAGGAAAUUGCCCUGAUGUGGGGGAUAACCAUUGGAAACGAUGGCUAAUACCGCAUGAUGCCUACGGGCCAAAGAGGGGGACCUUCGGGCCUCUCGCGUCAGGAUAUGCCUAGGUGGGAUUAGCUAGUUGGUGAGGUAAGGGCUCACCAAGGCGACGAUCCCUAGCUGGUCUGAGAGGAUGAUCAGCCACACUGGAACUGAGACACGGUCCAGACUCCUACGGGAGGCAGCAGUGGGGAAUAUUGCACAAUGGGCGCAAGCCUGAUGCAGCCAUGCCGCGUGUGUGAAGAAGGCCUUCGGGUUGUAAAGCACUUUCAGUCGUGAGGAAGGUAGUGUAGUUAAUAGCUGCAUUAUUUGACGUUAGCGACAGAAGAAGCACCGGCUAACUCCGUGCCAGCAGCCGCGGUAAUACGGAGGGUGCGAGCGUUAAUCGGAAUUACUGGGCGUAAAGCGCAUGCAGGUGGUUUGUUAAGUCAGAUGUGAAAGCCCGGGGCUCAACCUCGGAAU